This 1004-nucleotide long non-coding RNA is filed under the name Equus caballus (horse). Its description in RNAcentral is "lncRNA (ENSECAG00000055196.1)". Lineage: Eukaryota; Metazoa; Chordata; Mammalia; Perissodactyla; Equidae. The record is from RNAcentral.
AUCACAUAGCUAAAAUCCUAGUGGUUAAGAUUCUGCACUCUCAUUUCCACAGCCCAGGCUCAUUUCUGGUCAGGGAACCACACCACCCAUCCAUCAGUUGUCAUACUGUCAUGGCUGCCUGUUGCCAUGAUGCUGAGAGCUGUGCCACCAGUACUUCAAAUACCACUAGGGUCACCCAUGGUGGACAAGUUUCAGCAGAGCUUCCAGAUGAAGACAAACCAGGAAGAAGGACCUCGCCACCUACUUCUGAAAAAUUUACCGUGAAAACCCUAUGAAUAGCCGUGGAGGAUUGUCUGAUACAGCGCCGGAAGAUACCUCAAUAAAGUGAGAGAAGUGGGCUUUUCAUAUGACUUGUGUUGACAAGAACAAUAAUAUUUUGGAACUGCAGUGCAGAUGUAGAAAUUGACUGACUCAGCCCAAGAAAGCUGAAUCCUAAACUGGUAGAAGGUAAAGCUGAGUGAGUUGGUCAUACAGUCCCCAAAAGGCCCAGGAAUUAGUGACAUUCAGGAUCUCUGUAAGUAUUGGAUAAAAGAGGAUUGUUUUAAAAUCUGAUUAAAGAUAACUUGGAACCACAGAUCCCCUCUUCACUUUGAGAACCUAGUUGAUGACCCCUCUCUCACCCUGGCAGAAAACUGGAGAUUUUCUGGAGACCAUAAAACAUACUGUACCUGGGCUGAAGACAGAAAUCAUGGUUGAAGUUGGACCACACUGAAAACAGGAGGCCGAAGUGGAAGUUUAUAUGUCUUUGGGAGCUAGAACUCAAGAAGGUUUGGAUGCUAUUUUACACCUCUAUUUGGAAAACAAAGACAGAUUUUUAUGAAGAGACAACAAGCAACGCCAGGAGAAGAAACGUACCCAAUACUAUAAAAGAACAGCAAGUUUGCUAAGAAAGUUGAGGAAGAAGAAAUGAGUUUUGAAGGAUAAUCCUUUUCUAAAUAAAGAGCACAAAUGAAAGGAUGAUUGAAUUGCAGCCCUAAAGAUAGAAACCUCUAGAGAGAUUAAAG